RNAcentral lists this ribosomal RNA (468 nucleotides) under uncultured bacterium. Its description in RNAcentral is "partial 16S ribosomal RNA". It matches the Rfam family "Bacterial small subunit ribosomal RNA", at positions 28 to 507 of the family's 1533-position model. The record is from RNAcentral.
GACGAACGCUGGCGGCGUGCUUAACACAUGCAAGUCGAACGGAAAGGCCCUGCUUUUGUGGGGUGCUCGAGUGGCGAACGGGUGAGUAACAUGUGAGUAACCUGCCCUUGACGGUGGGAUAACUUCAGGAAACUGGGGCUAAUACCGGAUAGGUGAGGCUGAUGCAUGGGGGGGGUUGGACCGUUUAGGCGGUGGGGGAUGGACGCGCGGGUAAUCAGCUUGUUGGGGGAGUAGUGGCUUACCCAGGCUUUGACGGGUAGCCGGCAUGAGAGGGGGGACAGCGACCUGAGUACUACGAUACGGCGCAGACGGCUACGUGAGGCAGCAGGGGGGAGUAUGAUACAACGGGCCGGAGCGUGUUGCGACAACGCCGCGAGCGGGAUGACGGCCUUCUGGUUGUAAACCGCUGUCGCCUGUGACGAAGCGGGAGUGACGGUAAUGGGUGAAGAAGCACCGGCUAACUACGUG